UCAAAGGAACAGCUCUUGGAGAAGGUGAAGAAAUGCCUUCCAGGCAUUUUUGAUGUGUUGGAUGUCAAUGAAGCUUCUCCUGGGCUCCCAGUCAAUGAAGAGUCUUGCUGGUGCAACUGCCUGAACUGACAGGAGAUGCCUGGGAGCAGAAUAACUGCAGAGUGGAUGCAACCAACUGCAUCAAUAGGAUGGCCUACUUAAACCUUUGUAUUUUGACAAUCACAUGUGUGACUGGCAUGAGCAGAUCCAGGAGCCUGUAGGUGCCCAAUGCGUACUGGCUGCCUGAUCCCUUCUGCACAUGCACAAAAGUGGUUCUGUGAGUCAAAGAAGGCAUUCCUAGUCUGACUCCUGCUCAUCCGGAACCUGCACUGGAAUGGCAUACCUCUUCCUGGCUUCCCGCUGUUCAGCUAUCACCCCCUGCCUGUUUCCUUGCCCAGCCAGUUCCUGUUGGUUCACUUUUCAGCUCUCCCUGGCCAAAAGACUCUUCAGCACGAUUUCUAACAGUCUGGCAAUAUUCCUUUUGCACCAAUCCCUCAUCUCAGCUUCUGAGUUCUUGUGUGGUUGGGUUCAAACAACUAGCCUCCCUAAUAGAUGUGCAGGUCAUCUGCUGUGUAUGGAAUCUCUAUUACUGUAUGAAUGAAUGUGGAUCAAUGCAAAGCUACUGCUUUAAUGUGCAUCUAGCCAUCUUAAGAGAACCUGCCUGGAAGCUAUAAAGAUUAAUAUAACAGUCACAGAGAAGCAUUUUUCUAAGCUCUCAUCACAUCAGCAAAACCUAUGCUAUUAUCCUUGAGCCCUUAGGCUCUUACAUGGUUGUAAACAUGUUGAGUAGCUUUUAUAGGUUCAUCAUGAAAUCACAACUCAGAUGUUAAUAGAAUUACAGUCAAAACAGUUAUUAUUAAGCGCAUCAAU
Molecule: long non-coding RNA, 909 nt
Organism: Micropterus dolomieu (smallmouth bass)
Lineage: Eukaryota; Metazoa; Chordata; Actinopteri; Centrarchiformes; Centrarchidae
Exons: 3
Source: RefSeq, a predicted model, not a curated record